This 430-nucleotide unclassified non-coding RNA is filed under the name soil metagenome. Its description in RNAcentral is "partial contains 5.8S ribosomal RNA, internal transcribed spacer 2, and large subunit ribosomal RNA". The stretch from base 1 to 120 matches the Rfam family "5.8S ribosomal RNA", at positions 35 to 154 of the family's 154-position model. The record is from RNAcentral.
GAUGAAGAACGCAGCGAAAUGCGAUACGUAAUGUGAAUUGCAGAAUUCAGUGAAUCAUCGAAUCUCUGAACGCAUAUUGCGCUCUCUGGUAUUCCGGAGAGCAUGCUUGUUUGAGUAUCAGUAAACACCUCAACUCCCUUUUCUUUUUUGAAAUUGGAGCUGGACUUGAGUGAUCCCAACGCUUUCUUCCAAGAAAGUGGCGGGUUGCUUGAAAUGCAGGUGCAGCUGAACUUUUCUCUGAGCUAUAAGCAUAUCUAUUUAGUCUGCCUAAAAAACAGAUUAUUACCUUUGCUGCAGCUAACAUAAAGGAGACUAGUUCUUGUGCUGACUGAUGCAGGAUUCACAGAGACAGCUUCGGCUGACUUUGUAAACUCGAUCUCAAAUCAAGUAAGACUACCCGCUGAACUUAAGCAUAUCAAUAAGCGGAGGA